Molecule: long non-coding RNA, 3398 nt
Organism: Anopheles funestus (African malaria mosquito)
Lineage: Eukaryota; Metazoa; Arthropoda; Insecta; Diptera; Culicidae
Exons: 3
Source: RefSeq, a predicted model, not a curated record
AUGGCCGUCCAAGAAGAAAAUGUAGCCAUUGGUGCCAUCUAUCGACCACAGGUUAAAGAUUGGCGAUCCGUUGGAUACCGACCGAGUUAUAGGCAAAACUUGGUGCAAAAAUGAGGAAAAUUUUACAUUUUCUCAAACAGAGUAAGGAACUUGGUUCCUCGAAUAACUUCUGGCACAGACAUUUGAAGGCAUGGCCGUCCAAGAAGAAAAUGUAGCCAUUGGUGCCAUCUAUCGACCACAGGUUAAAGAUUGGCGAUCCGUUGGAUACCGACCGAGUUAUAGGCAAAACUUGGUGCAAAAAUGAGCCUUAGUAAAUUUUCAUAUUUUUGAAUUUUUUGAUUUUUUUAUUAUUUUUCACUCUUUUUUUAUAUAAAGCAUUACUUGAGUGAAAAGAAACACAUUUCAACCAAUUGGCAUUAAAAUAAAUCAAUUUUAUUUUUUUUGCAAAAUUUCUCAAAAAAAAACGUAAGGGGUAAGCCUUAUGAAAUUUUCGAGUGGAAAAUUUUUUUGAAAUUUUUUUCUGAUUUUUUAUUCUUUUUUUAAUUUAAAGCAUUAUUUGAGUGAAAACAAACAUAUUGCAACAAAUUCGCUAUAAAAUAUAUAUCACAUUUAAAAUUUUUGCUGAAUUGCAGAAAAAUGAGGAAAAUUUUACAUUUUCUCAAACAGGGUAAGGAACUUGGUUCGUCGCAUAACUUCUGGCACAGACAUCUGAGAGCAUGGCUGUCCAAGAAGAAAACGUAGCCAUUGGUGCCAUCUAUCGAUCACAGGUUAAAGAUUGGCGAUCCGUUGGAUACCGACCGAGUUAUAGGCAAAACUUGGUGCAAAAAUGAGCCUUAGUAAAUUUUCAUAUUUUUGAAUUUUUUGAUUUUUUUAUUAUUUUUCACUCUUUUUUUAUAUAAAGCUUUACUUGAGUGAAAAGAAACACAUUUCAACCAAUUGGCAUUAAAAUAAAUCAAUUUUAUUUUUUUUGCAAAAUUUCUCAAAAAAAACGUAAGGGGUAAGCCUUAUGAAAUUUUCGAGUGGAAAAUUUUUUUGAAAUUUUUUUCUGAUUUUUUAUUCUUUUUUUAAUUUAAAGCAUUAUUUGAGUGAAAACAAACAUAUUGCAACAAAUUCGCUAUAAAAUAUAUCACAUUUAAAAUUUUUGCUGAAUUGCAGAAAAAUGAGGAAAAUUUUACAUUUUCUCAAACAGGGUAAGGAACUUGGUUCCUCGCAUAACUUCUGGCACAGACAUCUGAGAGCAUGGCUGUCCAAGAAGAAAACGUAGCCAUUGGUGCCAUCUAUCGAUCACAGGUUAAAGAUUGGCAAUCCGUUGGAUACCGACCGAGUUAUAGGCAAAACUUGGUGCAAAAAUGAACCUUAGUAAAUUUUCAUUUUUUUGAAUUUUUUGAUUUUUUUAUUAUUUUUCACUCUUUUUUUAUAUAAAGCAUUACUUGAGUGAAAAGAAACACAUUUCAACCAAUUGGCAUUAAAAUAAAUCAAUUUUAUUUUUUUUGCAAAAUUUCUCAAAAAAAACGUAAGGGGUAAGCCUUAUGAAAUUUUCGAGUGGAAAAUUUUUUUGAAAUUUUUUUGUGAUUUUUUAUUCUUUUUUUAAUUUAAAGCAUUAUUUGAGUGAAAACAAACUUAUUACAACAAAUUCGCAUUCAAAUAUAUCACAUUUAAAAAUUUUGCUACAUUGCUCAAAAAUGAGGAAAAUUUUACAUUUUCUCAAACAGGGUAAGGAACUUGGUUCCUCGCAUAACUUCUGGCACAGACAUCUGAGGGCAUGGCCGUCCAAGAAGAAAAUGUAGCCAUUGGUGCCAUCUAUCGAUCACAGGUUAAAGAUUGGCGAUCCGUUGGAUACCGACCGACUUAUAGCCAAAACUUGGAGCAAAAAUGAGCCUUAUGCAAUUUUCUAAUUUUUAAUUUUUUUUAUUAUUUUAUAAUUUUUUAUUCUGUUUUUUAUUUAAAGCAUUAUUUGAGUGAAAACAAACGUUUUUCAACCAAUUGGCAUUAAAAUAAAUCAAUUUAAUUUUUUUUGCAAAAUUUCUCAAAAAAACGUAAGGGAUAAGCCUUAUGAAAUUUUCGAGUGGAAAAUUUUUUUGAAAUUUUUUUCUGAUUUUUUAUUCUUUUUUUAAUUUAAAGCAUUAUUUGAGUGAAAACAAACUUAUUGCAACAAAUUCGCAAUAAAAUAUAUCACAUUUAAAAUUUUUGCUGAAUUGCAGAAAAAUGAGGAAAAUUUUACAUUUUCUCAAACAGGGUAAGGAACUUGGUUUCUCGAAUAACUUCUGGCACAUACAUCUGAGGGCAUGGCCGUCCAGGAAGAAAAUGUAGCCAUUGGUUUCAUCUAUCGACCACAGGUUAAAGAUUGGCGAUCCGUUGGAUACCGACCGAGUUAUAGGCAAAACUUGGUGCAAAAAUGAGCCUUAGUAAAUUUUCAUAUUUUUGAAUUUUUUGAUUUUUUUAUUAUUUUUCACUCUUUUUUUAUAUAAAGCAUUACUUGAGUGAAAAGAAACACAUUUCAACCAAUUGGCAUUAAAAUAAAUCAAUUUUAUUUUUUUUUUGCAAAAUUUCCCAAAAAAAACGUAAGGGGUAAGCCUUAUGAAAUUUUCGAGUGGAAAAUUUUUUUGAAUUUUUUUCUGAUUUUUUAUUCUUUUUUUAAUUUAAAGCAUUAUUUGAGUGAAAACAAACUUAUUGCAACAAAUUCGCAAUAAAAUAUAUCACAUUUAAAAUUUUUGCUGAAUUGCAGAAAAAUGAGGAAAAUUUUACAUUUUCUCAAACAGGGUAAGGAACUUGGUUCCUCGCAUAACUUCUGGCACAGACAUCUGAGAGCAUGGCUGUCCAAGAAGAAAACGUAGCCAUUGGUGCCAUCUAUCGAUCACAGGUUAAAGAUUGGCGAUCCGUUGGAUACCGACCGAGUUAUAGGCAAAACUUGGUGCAAAAAUGAGCCUUAGUAAAUUUUCAUAUUUUUGAAUUUUUUGAUUUUUUUAUUAUUUUUCACUCUUUUUUUAUAUAAAGCAUUACUUGAGUGAAAAGAAACACAUUUCAACCAAUUGGCAUUAAAAUAAAUCAAUUUUAUUUUUUUUGCAAAAUUUCUCAAAAAAAACGUAAGGGGUAAGCCUUAUGAAAUUUUCGAGUGGAAAAUUUUUUUGAAAUUUUUUUCUGAUUUUUUAUUCUUUUUUUAAUUUAAAGCAUUAUUUGAGUGAAAACAAACAUAUUGCAACAAAUUCGCUAUAAAAUAUAUCACAUUUAAAAUUUUUGCUGAAUUGCAGAAAAAUGAGGAAAAUUUUACAUUUUCUCAAACAGGGUAAGGAACUUGGUUCCUCGCAUAACUUCUGGCACAGACAUCUGAGAGCAUGGCUGUCCAAGAAGAAAAUGUAGCCAUUGGUGCCAUCUAUCGACCACAGGUUAAAGAUUGGCGA